This 681-nucleotide ribosomal RNA is filed under the name uncultured Eubacteriales bacterium. RNAcentral's name for it is "bacterial SSU rRNA". It matches the Rfam family "Bacterial small subunit ribosomal RNA", at positions 61 to 742 of the family's 1533-position model. Lineage: Bacteria; Bacillati; Bacillota; Clostridia; Eubacteriales. The record is from RNAcentral.
GUCGAACGAUGAAACUUUAUUGAUUUCUAUCGGAAUGAUUUAAAGCGGAUUAGUGGCGAACGGGUGAGUAACACGUGAGUAACCUGCCUUACACAAGGGGAUAGCCGUUGGAAACGACGAAUAAUACCCUAUGAAACCAUAUAAAGCGCAUGCAGUUGUGGUCAAAGUGUUUAGCGGUGUAAGAUGGACUUGCGUCUGAUUAGCUAGUUGGUGAGAUAACAGCUCACCAAGGCAACGAUCAGUAGCCGGCUUGAGAGAGUGUACGGCCACAUUGGGACUGAGACACGGCCCAGACUCCUACGGGAGGCAGCAGUGGGGAAUUUUGCACAAUGGGGGCAACCCUGAUGCAGCGACGCCGCGUGACUUAGAAGGCCUUCGGGUUGUAAAAAUCUUUUGUAUAGGAAGAAACUGACAGUACUAUACGAAUAAGGUCCGGCUAAUUACGUGCCAGCAGCCGCGGUAAUACGUAAGGACCGAGCGUUGUCCGGAAUCAUUGGGCGUAAAGGGUACGUAGGCGGGCGCUUAAGUUAGAAGUGAAAGGCUAUAGCUCAACUAUAGUAAGCUUCUAAAACUGGGCGUCUUGAGAGAUGGAAGGGAAAGUGGAAUUCCUAGUGUAGCGGUGGAAUGCGCAGAUAUUAGGAGGAAUACCGGUGGCGAAGGCGACUUUCUGGCCAUUUUCUG